CAGCAGCCGCGGGAAUACAGAGGAUGCAAGCGUUAUCCGGAAUGAUUGGGCGUAAAGCGCACGUAGGCGGCUUUGUAAGUAAGAGGUGAAAGCCCGGGGCUCAACCCCGGAAUUGCCUUUUAGACUGCAUCGCUUGAAUCAUGGAGAGGUCAGUGGAAUUCCGAGUGUAGAGGUGAAAUUCGUAGAUAUUCGGAAGAACACCAGUGGCGAAGGCGGCUGACUGGACAUGUAUUGACGCUGAGGUGCGAAAGCGUGGGGAGCAAACAGGAUUAGAUACCCGCGUAGUCCCUGUCUCUUAUAU
Molecule: ribosomal RNA, 301 nt
Filed under: uncultured bacterium
Lineage: Bacteria
Description: partial 16S ribosomal RNA
Rfam family: Bacterial small subunit ribosomal RNA
Source: RNAcentral